This 734-nucleotide ribosomal RNA is filed under the name uncultured bacterium. Its description in RNAcentral is "bacterial SSU rRNA". It matches the Rfam family "Bacterial small subunit ribosomal RNA", at positions 71 to 774 of the family's 1533-position model. The record is from RNAcentral.
UUCUUUAUCACCGAGUGCUUGCACUCACCGAUAAAGAGUUGAGUGGCGAACGGGUGAGUAACACGUGGGCAACCUGCCCAAAAGAGGGGGAUAACACUUGGAAACAGGUGCUAAUACCGCAUAACCAUAGUUACCGCAUGGUAACUAUGUAAAAGGUGGCUAUGCUACCGCUUUUGGAUGGGCCCGCGACGCAUUAGCUAGUUGGUGGGGUAAAGGCUUACCAAGGCAAUGAUGCGUAGCCGAACUGAGAGGUUGAUUGGCCACAUUGGGACUGAGACACGGCCCAAACUCCUACGGGAGGCAGCAGUAGGGAAUCUUCCACAAUGGGCGAAAGCCUGAUGGAGCAACGCCGCGUGGGUGAAGAAGGUCUUCGGAUCGUAAAACCCUGUUGUUAGAGAAGAAAGUGCGUGAGAGUAACUGUUCACGUUUCGACGGUAUCUAACCAGAAAGCCACGGCUAACUACGUGCCAGCAGCCGCGGUAAUACGUAGGUGGCAAGCGUUAUCCGGAUUUAUUGGGCGUAAAGAGAACGCAGGCGGUCUUUUAAGUCUGAUGUGAAAGCCUUCGGCUUAACCGGAGUAGUGCAUUGGAAACUGGGAGACUUGAGUGCAGAAGAGGAGAGUGGAACUCCAUGUGUAGCGGUGAAAUGCGUAGAUAUAUGGAAGAACACCAGUGGCGAAGGCGGCUCUCUGGUCUGUAACUGACGCUGAGGUUCGAAAGCGUGGGUAGCAAACA